CCCUUAGACGUUCUGGGCCGCACGCGCGCUACACUGACCAGUGCAACAAGCAUCCGUCCUUGGCCGACAGGCUCGGGCAAUCUUUGAACGCUGGUCGUGAUGGGGAUAGACUUUUGCAAUUUUGAAUCUCCAACGAGGAAUUCCUAGUAAACGCAAGUCAUCAGCUUGCAUUGAUUACGUCCCUGCCCUUUGUACACACCGCCCGUCGCACCUACCGAUUGAACGGUCCGGUGAAAUCUUGGGAUUUGCAUGUUGUUGAUUGAUUUCAUGGCGUGCGAAGAACUUGAGUAAACCUUACCGUUUAGAGGAAGGUGAAGUCGUAACA
This 325-nucleotide ribosomal RNA is filed under the name uncultured eukaryote. RNAcentral's name for it is "partial 18S ribosomal RNA". It matches the Rfam family "Eukaryotic small subunit ribosomal RNA", at positions 1470 to 1796 of the family's 1831-position model. The record is from RNAcentral.